GCAAGGCGUGGGGCGCUAUGGGACUGCGCAGUGACGACCCAGUGAAGUAGAUGCCUUGACGAUUCCCAUUUCACGGAUGAGACGACUCCGGCACAGAGAAGUCAGAGGGCCUGUCCUGGGUCACACAGCCACAGGCGGCCCCCAGAACGGGACUUCAGGGUGCACCACUGCACCCCAGCAGAGGCCUCCGCCUGGCACACAGGGAAUGCUGGAGCAAUACUUGAAUAAGAACAUACAGUGGCAUAAGAGAGACCAACUUGGUGAUAACUGAUCAUAGGAUUAGACCAAGGUGCAGAAGCAAACAGAACCUCCGUAAAAUGUAACGAUGUCUCGUGCCUGCAAUCCUAGUGCUUUCAGAGGCCAAGGUGGGAAGAUGCCUUGAGCUCAGGAGUUCGAGACCAGCCUGAACAACACAACAAGACCUCGUAUCUAUGAAAAAAUAAAAAUAAUAAAAUUAGCUGCACACCUAUUUGGUGGCACACACCUGUGGUCCCAGGUACUCGGGAGGCUGAGAUGAGAUCAUUUGAGCCCAGGAGAUCAAGGCUGCAAUCAGCUGUGAUCAUGCCACUGCCCUCCAGCCUGGACAACUGAGCGAGACCCUGUCUCCAAAAAAAGUAAAAUUAAAAAAAAAAA
This 633-nucleotide non-coding RNA is filed under the name Pan troglodytes (chimpanzee). Lineage: Eukaryota; Metazoa; Chordata; Mammalia; Primates; Hominidae. The record is from RNAcentral.